UGUGUGUGUGUGUGUGUGUGUGUGUGUGUGUGAUGCUGCUCUCCCUGUGAGUGCUGGCAGUGUCGGCUGUGCCGGGACCUCUGAUCUAGCGUUGCUGCAGGACUACAGUAGGACUGACAAAGAACUGUGUAUGAGCUUUCCUGACCAAAUGGUGAGCCUUUUUUACUUCGCAGAGCAUGUCUGGGCACGUCUGCUACCUUUCACCUGGAAUAUGCGCAUCUGGGUACAUACGACUGCAUGCCCAGUUCUGUCUACGCAUGUGUGGUAUUGUUUGCUGUGUCCGCAUCUAGUACUUAUUGACCCUGAUCCUAUUUUAGUGGAGAUGGUCUGUUUUUAGAUCCAGGGAAUCAUUUUUGAAUUGAAAAAGACAAGGGUAGAAUCAAAAUGUAAACCAUGUAUUUCUGAUGUGACCGGAUCUUGAUUGGUUAUUUUAACUCACUCAUCCAAAGUUUUUUUUUUUUUUUGUCUGGCCAUUAAAUCACCAUUGCUUCUGUUAGUUUUCCCACUCCAAGGUGCUUGUUUGUCCAGUGUAGUCUACAGCAGUGUUUCUAACUCCAGUUUGCCCAACAGCACACAUUUGUGUUGUUGCCCCAAACAAACUCACCUGAUUCAACUCAUUGAGGGCCUGAUGAUUAGUUGACUCGGGUGUGCUUGUCCAGGGCUACAACAAAUAUUUGUGCUGUUUGGGGUACUGGAAGACUGGAGUUGGGAAACACUGGUGUGUGUGAACCAUCGCUUACCCUUUGGGCUCGACCCUACAGAGAUGUGAGCGCCUACUGCUUGUCCUUUCAUGCAAAAAGUACAGCAUUGUCCUCUACAGACCAGGAAAGCUCUCUUAACAUCGUCCUGAUACGGGGACUGUUGCUGCGGAAACUGCCCCCUCCCCUCACCGCACCCAGUCAGAAUUUGUGUCCAAUGUCUGGCUUCUCCACACACUGUUGAAGAGCGUGAAGUAUUCCAAGUCAGUGGACCGAUUUGAGGCAUGUUUCGGGAGGGAGCUGGUCAAAACGCUUGUGGGGAUCCUGCACCCUUCGCUGCUCGUCAACCCCCACCAAGGGGAAGCGGAGAGGAGUGCAGAACAAGAGGGGGGCAAGGAGAAAGUGUCCAUGAGGAGAAUCCAAGGCCUCUAGAGGAGCACGCAGGCAGAGUUCUUUCACACAGGACUCGAUGAAAGCUGGAGAAUGGCAGCAGAAGGCCGUAUUUGUGUAUUUAAUUUGGUCUUUGAAUUCCUUGGUGAACAUAUUUGUACAUAGUUGCAGCCAAAUAUUGGCACCCUUGCACUUUUUUUUCCUUUAAAAAAAAAAAUUUCUUCUAAAAUAACUUGAAAUUUGGAAAAACCUUUGGUAUCUACACCUUACUGUAUUUUCAACAUUACAGACCCAAUUUACCCAAUUGGUAAAUUUAAGUUUACAAUUUGGCAUGUACAAAAUGAUUGGCAAGUACUUGGUUGCAUAGCCUUUGGCCAAGAACUACAGACAAAUGCUUCUUGUAGGCAUCAGUAAGGUGGCUGCAUCUUAUUACUGGUGAUUUUACUCAGCCUUCAGAAGCAAACUGCUCUAAUUCUUUAAUGUUUGAGGGGUGCCCUCCACCAACUGCUGUUGUCAGCUCUCGCCAUAGGUUAUGGAUGUGGCAACUGCUCGGCCUCGUUCCUGCCAUCCAGGACCUCCUAUACCAGGCGGUGUCAGAGGAGGCCCUAAAAAUUGUCAGACUCCAGCCACCCUAGUCAUAGACUGUUCUCUCUGCUACCACACGGCAAGCUGUGCCAAGUCUAGGUCCAAAGGUCUUAACAGCUUCUACCCCCAAGCCAUAACUCCUGAACAGCUAAUCAAAUGGCUACCCAGACUAUUUUCAUUGCCCCCUUUCCUGCACCUAUUUUAUGCUGCUGCUACUCUCUGUGUAUUAUCUAUACAUAGUCACUUUAACUCUACCUACAUGUACAUAUUACUUCUACUAACCGGUACCUACUCACAUUGACUCUGUACCGGUAGCCCCUGUAUAUAGCCUCGCUAUUUGUUAUUUUACUGCUGCUCUUUAAUCAUUUGUUACUUUUUAUAUAAUUUGGUUGUGUGUGUAUAUAUAAAAAAUAAAAUAUAUAUAUAUUUUUUUUUACUUAACACUUGUUUUUCUUACAAGUUAAGUAAGCAUUUCACUGUAAGGUCAACACCGGUUGUAUUCGGCGCAUGUGACAAAUACAAUUUGAUUUGAUUCAGAUCUGGCCACUCCAGAACAGUCCAGCGUUUCUUCUUGAACCAUUCCAGGGUGCCUUUAUAUUUGUUUGGGGUUGUUGUCCUGCUGAAAUUACCAUCAACCUUCCAACCGAGACCAAGUGUUUGGACACUGGGUUGAACAUUGCACUCCAAAACACCUUCAUAAUCUGCGGUUUUGCUUAUGUACAAGGCCCCAAGCACUAGAGGCAGCAAAGCAACCCCACAGCAUUAUCAAACCUUCCCUAUGUGUGUAGUUAUUUUCUUAAUUUGGUUGUUGGUUAACAUAGGAAGCCCCCCACUGCCGAAGAAGACUCAAGAAAGCCUGAUUGAAUGCUGGACUGUAGUGGAGUGGCCAGCCAAUAUUCCAGAUCUACAUCCCAUCCAAAACCUAUGGUAAGAGCUGAAAAUAGCAGUUGGAAGAAUAAGAGCAAUUUGCUGUGAAGUGGGACAAAUUGCCAGUAGGAAGGUGCAGCAAGCUCAUUGAUGGUACAAGAAGUGUUUGUCUGCAGUUGGCCAAAGGCUGUAAUUUUGUCUGCCAAUUGUUUUUCUUUUCUAAAUUAGUAGUUUGCAAAAAUACAAUGGGUUCUAGAAUGUUGCAAAUCCAAGGUCUGGAGACAAAGUUCUCAAUUUCAAACUAUUUUUGAAGAAAUGGGGAAUUAAUUGAGAAGUGCAAGGGUGCCAACUAGUUUGUUACAAAGUUUAUCCCUUGUGUAAAAAUCAACAAUGUUGCACAUGGUUUGAC
Oncorhynchus tshawytscha (Chinook salmon) is the source of this 2949-nucleotide long non-coding RNA. The record is from Ensembl. Lineage: Eukaryota; Metazoa; Chordata; Actinopteri; Salmoniformes; Salmonidae.